CAUGCACUGGUGGGGUCCCUCAGCCUGGCCUGUGCCCUCUCGCAAUUCUGGACCCCUUGGGGGAUGUUGGAGAGUGGGUUUUGGCCUGAUCCUCACAGGCCAGGCUGAGGGACCCCACUGGUGCAUG
This is a non-coding RNA of Myotis davidii, 127 nucleotides long. The record is from Rfam. NCBI's taxonomy places the organism in Eukaryota, Metazoa, Chordata, Mammalia, Chiroptera, Vespertilionidae.